This 3067-nucleotide unclassified non-coding RNA is filed under the name Diabrotica virgifera virgifera (western corn rootworm). Its description in RNAcentral is "uncharacterized LOC114335972". The record is from RNAcentral. Lineage: Eukaryota; Metazoa; Arthropoda; Insecta; Coleoptera; Chrysomelidae.
GCUUGCUGUCAAAAUGAACAAAGGACAGAAAAACAAAGUUGAUUGUGUUUUUGUUAAAAAUUUUUUAACACUUUUAAAAAGAUUACCGAUUACCGGCAUAUCAUAGGUAAGAAACCGAUAGACGAUGGCCGUAAUAAUUAAUGAAAUGGGGCAAGAAAAUAUAGACGAACCAUUUAAAAUAAUUGACAUUGAGCAAUUAGAGCAAAACAGUAUUUGCCAUAAUUGCCAUAAAUUAUUAAAUGUUAUACCUAUUUAUGGUCUUCAGCAAGAAGAUGAUACAAUACAUGAAGUAUGUGGCCGAUGUCUUCACAUAGCCGAGAAACACAAAGGGGUAAAAUGGAGGCAAAUCUCAUAUGAAAAGAUAGCACAACACAUGACUUUCCCCUGCUGUUAUAAAAUGGAGGGGUGCAAUUCGGUGCUAACUUGGGAUACAGUCUUAGAUCAUGAAGUAGGAUGCCCCAAAGCCUUUUUGGUCUGUCCGUUUAAUGACAAUGGUGUUUACAAGGGACUCAACUGCCUUUGGAAAGGAAACACUGCAGAGUUUCAGAAGCAUAUUGAAGAUGAACAUGGAGAAUUAAUAAUUAAUCCACCAUUUUUAGAAGAACUACCUAAACAAAACCAAAUCUACUUUAGUUAUGUAAAUAAGAUAUUAGUUAUGAUUGUUAUUUUAAAGGAAAGUGAUAAUAAGUAUUUCUCUUGUGUAUUCUUUAAUGGCAGUGAUGUUGAAACACAGUACUAUAAGUAUCAAGUAGAAUUAAUAGAUGAAAGUAAAACCAGUUCCAUUAUAUUGCGAAAAUAUAGACUUGAACCUUAUGGAAAUUUUUUGGCUAUCUUAGCUGAUAAGAAAAAGUUGCUGGAGAUAAAUUUGGAAGUAGUGAAGCCUAUGAUUAAUCAACAAGGAAAAAUAUUCUCAGCUAGAUUUGGCAUUACAAUGAAAAAUAAAAGAGAUGUAAACCAAAUUGCCAAGGACAAUAAUGUCACAAGCUGCAAGAUUCCUAAAAUGGCUCCAAGCAAUACAAAACACCGCGUUCCUGAUGAAAAUCUUCUUGCGGAAUUAGAAUGUCCUGUUUGCAAUGAAUAUAUGGUACCACCGAUUUACAUAUGUGGUAAUGGUCACAGUCUGUGUAACGAAUGUAUUGAAAAAGUUCAAUGCUGUCCCAAUUGUCGAACUUCCUUAGCCACUAAAACACGAAACUAUACAGUAGAGAAACUGACAACUAAAGUGAAUUAUCCGUGUAGACAUCGAGAUAUCGGCUGUGGUUUUUCAACAACAUCCGACAACAUUCGGGAACAUGAAAAGAACUGUGAUUUGGCAGAUACCGAUUGUAUUUUUAAGUGUGGCGAGAAAUUUACAAGAUCAAACCUUCUGAACCAUAUUAACACUGCACACAAAGAUGGCGUGAUACAGCUCAACGUUGUUAAUACUUUAAAUAUAUUACACAAGAAAGAGAUUACACUUGUUGUAUCAGCUUUUGGAGAGAUGUUUAGACUGAGUAUAAAAACAGUACAAUCCGCUGCAACGAGUCCAGAAUACAUUUUCAAAUUGAAUGUUCAGCACAUGGAAGACGUAAAUCCGCCUUCGGUAUAUCGUUACAGAUUCGACUUUAUUGACCAAAGCGACGAAGGUAGAAGUACCACCAUAAUGAGUACUACCCAACCGAUAUCUGAAAAACCACUGAAAUUAGCUCAUGUGACCGUACCGCACCACGUCAUCAAAGCAGCUACAAAAGAUAAUAAGCUGCAUUACAGAUUUAACGUGUAUAUUGCUAAACGGAAAAGAAUAUCAUCUGUGUAAUGUUGACUAGGCUGUUAGUAUUUUUUUAUUAUAAGCAUAGCAUACAGUAAAUGUUUUUAAUCUUGUUUGGUAUUUUCUUUGAGCAUAUACAGUGAGCGCGUAAAGGUUGGAAUAAAUUCAUUUUUUCAUGAAUGGGCGAUUUUGGAAAUAAAUCCCAAAACAGGUUGAUAUAUUAUCUUAUCUUAUUUUUUAAAUUAUGACUGUUUGGCAUAUACAGGGUGUUAGUAAAUAAGUAUGAAAAACUUUAAGGGGUAAUUCUACAUGAAAAAAUAAUGACAGUUUGCUUCAUAAACAUAUGUCCGCACAUGCUUUGUUUCCGAGAUACGCGGUGUUGAAAUUUUUUAUUUCAAGCUGCAAAUUUUUUUAUUACUCUAAGGCCGUUUGAGCUUUGGAAAUUAAAUUUGGUGGGUUUUAAGAGGUAGUUGUUGCGCAUCUUUUGAUGUACAAAUAACAAUUUUGUAUUCAUCAUUGGCGCGUACUGGUAAUGGUCUGAAUUUUUUUAAAGAAAGAAAUAUUACGCGGCUGAGAUAUUUUAAAUUAAAAAUUAUUUUUGUAUUCCACGUUUAAUUUAUGAAAAACAACCUUUCUCAUAUUCUUUUCAUAUGGUGCACCGUUUUUAUGGAAAAAAAAUGAAACAUCUUCGCGCGUAUUUUUCAUUUCAUAAUACAUUAUCAAGAACUCUCCAAUAUAAUAAUACCAAACUAGAACAAUAACAGAAAAUAUUUCUAAAAAGAUUUUAAAUUGUGCAAGGCUACAAAAAUUUUUUCAAAAUUACCUCCUUUAAAGGUGACAGAGUAAUUUUAUAUUCACCAUUGGCGCGCGUACGUGUAAUUGCCUGAAUUUUUAAAGAAAAAAAUAGUACGCCACUGAGAUAUGUCAAAUUAAAAAUCAUUUUUUAAUUCCUCAUUCAAUUUACGACUAAAAAUCGUUCCUGUCUUUUUUUCAUGAGGCGCCAUUUUUAUGCAUAAAAAUAAAACAUCUUAACGUUUACAAAGUAUUUGAAUAAAAAUUUCUAUUAUGUUAUCUACCUCGAAUAAUUUGUAAGCGUUAAGACGUUUUAUUUUUUUGUAUAAAAAUGGCACUCCAUAUGAAAAAUAGAUAAGAAUGAUUUUUUGUCGUAAAUUGAACGAGGAAUUCAAAAAUGAUUUUUAAUUUGACGUAUCUCAGUGGCGUACUAUUUUUUUUUAAUUCAGACCAUUACCUGUACGGGCGCCAAUGGUGAAUAUAAAAUUAUGCUGUCACCCGUAAAGGAGGUAAUUUUGAACAUUUGUU